Long non-coding RNA from Gallus gallus (chicken), 940 nucleotides. Lineage: Eukaryota; Metazoa; Chordata; Aves; Galliformes; Phasianidae. The record is from Ensembl.
GUCUGUUGAAAAGAGAGGUGUUCUUUUGUGUAAAAGGCAGCAGUCUUUCUUAGCGCAGUCUCUUCUCUGAGCGCGACAGAGAUGUCAGCCCAGGGUAAAACAUGACAAGAAGAUCCCGAGAGAUCAUCCAGUCACAUCCACCAGCAUGUGAUGACAGUGCCGGAGUACCGUGCCCCACCAGCAGCUGUAAGCAGAAAAUAUUUGUGCUAAUAACAAGAUGACACCAGCAGAAAGAGGACCUGGGGACACAGAGAGAGAAUUUCUGGAAUUAAGGGAAUUAGCUGGAGGCCAGGUGGUGGGAGCCAUGAAUGCAACUUCUUUUGGCCCGAUCAGAGGAAAAUAUUCUGAACUUUAACAUCACUGGUUUGAAUCUGCAAUUCGGGCUGUGCUGUAAGAUCAUGUAAAGCUGAGGUGGUACCAGACAGACGUGGCACAGCUAUGCUGCUUUCUAAAAUACUGCGUGCUUCAGAGAGGAAACCUCGUUGUAGCUGAGAGGGCAAAAAGAAAGAACGAUUCCAAUCCUUGAACCUGUCUUCUCUUCACAUCAAUGCGAAGACUCCUCAAGGAAACUUUAAGACAACUGGGAGUUUUGCUGACAACUCUGAAGGGUUCAUACACACACUAUCUGAAACAAUGCCAGAAAACUCUGAAUGUGCUGCUUCUGGGGGGGUCGUUUUACUUAGCUGCAAAAGCCUUUAACCUUAGCGCAGUAUCACUGACGUGACAAUGAUUAACGUUUCACCUUCUUAAAAAGCCCAACAAUUGGGAUUAUUAUUAACAAGCAAAUUAUUCCUUUUAUUUUUCUUUUUUUCUCUCUCUGGGCCUUUUUUAUUUUUAUUUUUUUAAAUUAUUAUUAUUUAUUUCCCAGAGUUGUUUCAUUGGCUGCAAUCCUGGCUAGCAUUCCCCUUGAACUCUUCAUAAAUUGCCACAUAACCACGUG